This 25-nucleotide microRNA is filed under the name Equus caballus (horse). RNAcentral describes it as "eca-miR-8929". Lineage: Eukaryota; Metazoa; Chordata; Mammalia; Perissodactyla; Equidae. The record is from miRBase by way of RNAcentral.
UGCUGGAGAAUUUGCCCAUGUCCCC